UACGGGGGGGGCAAGCGUUGUUCGGAAUUACUGGGCGUAAAGGGCGCGUAGGCGGCUUGAUAAGGUUGCGGUGAAAGCCCGGGGCUCAACCCCGGGUCGGCCGUGGCAACUGUCGAGCUGGAGCACUGUAGAGGCAGGUGGAAUUCCGGGUGUAGCGGUGGAAUGCGUAGAGAUCCGGAAGAACACCGGUGGCGAAGGCGGCCUGCUGGGCAGUGGCUGACGCUGAGGCGCGAAAGUGUGGGGAGCGAACAGG
RNAcentral lists this ribosomal RNA (253 nucleotides) under uncultured bacterium. Its description in RNAcentral is "partial 16S ribosomal RNA". It matches the Rfam family "Bacterial small subunit ribosomal RNA", at positions 524 to 776 of the family's 1533-position model. The record is from RNAcentral.